RNAcentral lists this ribosomal RNA (513 nucleotides) under uncultured bacterium. RNAcentral describes it as "partial 16S ribosomal RNA". It matches the Rfam family "Bacterial small subunit ribosomal RNA", at positions 30 to 523 of the family's 1533-position model. The record is from RNAcentral.
AUUGAACGCUGGCGGCAUGCCUUACACAUGCAAGUCGAGCGAACAGACGAGGAGCUUGCUCCUCUGACGUUAGCGGUGGACGGGUGAGUAACACGUGGAUAACCUACCUAUAAGACUGGGAUAACUUCGGGAAACCGGAGCUAAUACCGGAUAACAUGUUGAACCGCAUGGUUCAACAGUGAAAGACGGUCUUGCUGUCACUUAUAGAUGGAUCCGCGCCGCAUUAGCUAGUUGGUAAGGUAACGGCUUACCAAGGCAACGAUGCGUAGCCGACCUAAGAGGGUGAACGGCCCCACUGGAACGGAGCCACGGUCCAGACUCCUACGGGAGGCAGCAGUAGGGAAUCUUCCGCAAUGGGCGAAAGCCUGACGGAGCAACGCCGCGUGAGUGAAGAAGGUCUUCGGAUCGUAAAACUCUGUUAUUAGGGAAGAACAAAUGUGUAAGUAACUAUGCACGUCUUGACGGUACCUAAUCAGAAAGCCACGGCUAACUACGUGCCAGCAGCCGCCGUAA